UACGAAGGGGGCUAGCGUUGCUCGGAAUCACUGGGCGUAAAGCGCACGUAGGCGGAUUGUUAAGUCAGGGGUGAAAUCCUGGAGCUCAACUCCAGAACUGCCUUUGAUACUGGCAAUCUCGAGUUCGGGAGAGGUGAGUGGAACUGCGAGUGUAGAGGUGAAAUUCGUAGAUAUUCGCAAGAACACCAGUGGCGAAGGCGGCUCACUGGCCCGAUACUGACGCUGAGGUGCGAAAGCGUGGGGAGCGAACAGG
Molecule: ribosomal RNA, 253 nt
Filed under: uncultured bacterium
Lineage: Bacteria
Description: partial 16S ribosomal RNA
Rfam family: Bacterial small subunit ribosomal RNA
Source: RNAcentral